This 214-nucleotide unclassified non-coding RNA is filed under the name fungal sp. RNAcentral's name for it is "partial internal transcribed spacer region". The stretch from base 1 to 46 matches the Rfam family "Eukaryotic small subunit ribosomal RNA", at positions 1786 to 1831 of the family's 1831-position model. The record is from RNAcentral. Lineage: Eukaryota; Fungi.
AAGUCGUAACAAGGUUUCCGUAGGUGAACCUGCGGAAGGAUCAUUACCAAUCUAGAGCUGCGCUUGCGUAGCCUCUUGCACCUUGUGAACUUGUGACUGCUUUCUGAGCAGCCUUUGGCCAGCUUGCUGGCCGAGGGACAACUAAAACCUUUUGUAAACCAUACUUAGAAAACACAAACUAAUACAACCUUUAACAAUGGAUCUCUUGGUUCCU